GUCUUUUUGAGUUAUUUUUAAAGUCUGACCUGCCCACUGAAUAUUUUUAAAUGGCCGCAGUAUCCUAACUGUGCAAAGGUAGCAUAAUCAUUAGUCUUUUAAUUGAAGGCUGGUAUGAACGGUUGGACGAAGUAUAAGCUGUUUCAUAUAAAAUUAUAUUAGAACUUUAUAUUUUAGUUAAAAAGCUAAAAUUUUAUUAAAAGACGAGAAGACCCUAUAAAUCUUUAUAUUUAAUAUUAAUCAAAUUUUUUUGAUUUAUUUUAUUUUUUUAAUUUUAAAUAUUUUGUUGGGGUGAUAUUAAAAUUUAAUGAACUUUUAAUUAUUUAUUAAAUCAUUAAUUUAUGAAUAAUUGAUCCAUUAAUAAUGAUUAUAAGAUUAAGUUACUUUAGGGAUAACAGCGUAAUUUUUUUUGAGAGUUCAUAUCGACAAAAAAGUUUGCGACCUCGAUGUUGGAUUAAGAUAUAUUUUUAGGUGCAGCCGCUUAAAUAUUAAGUCUGUUCGACUUUUAAUUUCUUACAU
Molecule: ribosomal RNA, 519 nt
Filed under: Ceratitis cosyra (mango fruit fly)
Lineage: Eukaryota; Metazoa; Arthropoda; Insecta; Diptera; Tephritidae
Description: partial 16S ribosomal RNA
Rfam family: Bacterial large subunit ribosomal RNA (bases 391-519)
Source: RNAcentral